GUGCCAGCAGCCGCGGUAAAACGUAGGUCCCGAGCGUCGUUCGGAUUCACUGGGUGUAAAGGGCGCGUAGGUGGUUGUCUGUGUCUCAUGUGAAAACUCAGGGCUCAACUCUGAGAUUGCGUGGGAAACUAGGCAGCUAGAGGACGGUAGAGGGGAGUGGAAUUCCCGGUGUAGCGGUAAAAUGCGUAGAUACCGGGAGGAACACCGGUGGCGAAGGCGACCUUCUGGCCUGUUACUGACGCUGAGGCGCGAAAGCCGGGGGAGCAAACAGGAUUAGAUACCCUGGUAGUCCCGGCCGUAAAAGCUGGGUGCUAGGUGUUGGGGGGUAAAGACCCUUCAGGGCCGAAGCCAACGCGAUAAGCAUCCCACCUGGGGAGUACGGCCGCAAGGUUGAAACUUAAAGAAAUUGACGG
RNAcentral lists this ribosomal RNA (413 nucleotides) under uncultured bacterium. Its description in RNAcentral is "bacterial SSU rRNA". It matches the Rfam family "Bacterial small subunit ribosomal RNA", at positions 505 to 916 of the family's 1533-position model. The record is from RNAcentral.